This 703-nucleotide long non-coding RNA is filed under the name Pan troglodytes (chimpanzee). RNAcentral describes it as "long non-coding RNA NONPTRT006201". Lineage: Eukaryota; Metazoa; Chordata; Mammalia; Primates; Hominidae. The record is from RNAcentral.
CCAGGUGCACCCUGCGACAUCCAAAGGUCAGGCUUUCAGCCGCUGUGGCUUCCACUUCCAACUGGCUCCACAUCCCCAGGGAGGGAUCACACAGCACUUUGCCAGCACAUUCUAUUGCGUGUUUAAUGUUCCUGUGAAUGCGCCCUUGCCAUUUCUCUCUUUCCCCUCCACACAGAGCUUAGAAGCAAAGUUAAGAGACUCAUCAGAUUCCGAGCUGCUGCGGGAUAUUUUGCACAAGACUGUGAAGCAUCCUGUGUGUGUGAAGCACCCGCCGUCCGUCAAAUAUGCCCGGUGCUUUCUCUCAGAACUCAUCAAAAAGGUCAGUUAUGGGCAGUGUCCGCCCAGUAGCUGGACAGCAUAGCCACUUUCGUGCUGGAGCCCCUGUCCUUCCCAGGCCCUGGGCCUGCUUUGCAAACCCCAGCAUGGCAGGGGCUCCCCAGGCAACUGGCUGCAGCCGCGUGUGACCCAUGGGAAACAGUGCAGGGCGGGAAGAAGGGGAGGCCAGCGUCUCUCCCUCACUCUGCCUCCUGGGGUUUCCACAGCAGCUGCUUCUUUGGGGCCCCAGCUCCUAGCAUAUGGAUUCUCAUUCCUACCGGGCUGGCCCAGCCCACAGCACUGGAACCCGCACCCACACUCUCUGUCCUGCCCGCCAAAGGGUUUGGAGUUUCCUGCUCUUGUCCGUCUCUGGGUUGCCCCACGGGCC